RNAcentral lists this ribosomal RNA (253 nucleotides) under uncultured bacterium. RNAcentral describes it as "partial 16S ribosomal RNA". It matches the Rfam family "Bacterial small subunit ribosomal RNA", at positions 524 to 776 of the family's 1533-position model. The record is from RNAcentral.
UACGUAGGGGGCAAGCGUUGUCCGGAAUCAUUGGGCGUAAAGCGCGCGUAGGCGGCUCGGUAAGUCCGCUCUGAAAGUCCAGGGCUCAACCCUGGGAUGCGGGUGGAUACUGCCGGGCUCGAGUCCGGAAGAGGCGAGUGGAAUUCCCGGUGUAGCGGUGAAAUGCGCAGAUAUCGGGAGGAACACCAAUGGCGAAGGCAGCUCGCUGGGACGUGACUGACGCUGAGACGCGAAAGCGUGGGGAGCAAACAGG